AUACGAAGGGAGCGAGCGUUGUCCGGAAUUACUGGGGGUAAAGGGAGCGUAGGCGGGAGUGCAAGGCAGAUGUGAAAUACAUGGGCCCAACGCGUGGGGUGCAUUUGAAACUGCGUUUCUUGAGUGAAGUAGAGGUAAGCGGAAUUCCCGGUGUAGGGGUGAAAUGGGUAGAAAUCUGGAGGAACACCGGUGGCGAAGGCGGCUUACUGGGCUUUUACUGACGCUGAGGCUCGAAAGCGUGGGGAGCAAACAGGAUUAGAUACCCUGGUAGUCCCCGCUGUAAACGAUGAUUACUAGGUGUGGGGGGUCUGACCCCUUCCGUGCCGCAGUUAACACAAUAAGUAAUCCGCCUGGGGAGUACGGCCGCAAGGUUGAAACUCAAAUGAAUUGACGGGG
RNAcentral lists this ribosomal RNA (396 nucleotides) under uncultured bacterium. Its description in RNAcentral is "partial 16S ribosomal RNA". It matches the Rfam family "Bacterial small subunit ribosomal RNA", at positions 523 to 918 of the family's 1533-position model. The record is from RNAcentral.